AGAGUUUGAUCAUGGCUCAGGACGAACGCUGGCGGCGUGCUUAACACAUGCAAGUCGAACGGUGACCUCGAGAGCUUGCUCUUGGGUGAUCAGUGGCGAACGGGUGAGUAACACGUGAGUAACCUGCCCCAGACUCUGGAAUAACCCCGGGAAACCGGAGCUAAUACCGGAUACGAGACGGAGCCGCAUGGCUACCGUUUGGAAAGUUUUUCGGUCUGGGAUGGACUCGCGGCCUAUCAGUUAGUUGGUGAGGUAACGGCUCACCAAGACGACGACGGGUAGCCGGCCUGAGAGGGCGACCGGCCACACUGGGACUGAGACACGGCCCAGACUCCUACGGGAGGCAGCAGUGGGGAAUAUUGCACAAUGGGCGAAAGCCUGAUGCAGCGACGCCGCGUGAGGGAUGAAGGCCUUCGGGUUGUAAACCUCUUUCAGCAGGGAAGAAGCGAAAGUGACGGUACCUGCAGAAGAAGCACCCGGCUAACUACGUGCCAGCAGCCGCGGUA
This 506-nucleotide ribosomal RNA is filed under the name uncultured Actinomycetes bacterium. RNAcentral describes it as "bacterial SSU rRNA". It matches the Rfam family "Bacterial small subunit ribosomal RNA", at positions 8 to 522 of the family's 1533-position model. Lineage: Bacteria; Bacillati; Actinomycetota; Actinomycetes. The record is from RNAcentral.